GUCUACAGCCAUACCACCCUGGACAUGCCUGAUCUCAUCUGAUCUUGAAAGCUAAGCAGGGUUGGGCCUGGUUAGUACUUGCAUGGGAGACCACUUGGGACUACAAGGUGCUGUAGCCU
Molecule: ribosomal RNA, 119 nt
Filed under: Saimiri boliviensis boliviensis (Bolivian squirrel monkey)
Lineage: Eukaryota; Metazoa; Chordata; Mammalia; Primates; Cebidae
Source: RNAcentral